Molecule: long non-coding RNA, 1806 nt
Filed under: Marmota monax (woodchuck)
Lineage: Eukaryota; Metazoa; Chordata; Mammalia; Rodentia; Sciuridae
Source: RNAcentral
AUUUUAUAUAUAUAUAAAAUUUCUCAAUAAUCCUGCAUUUUCUUAUUUUUCUCACAUUUCUGCUACAUUUUUCAUUUUUAAAAUCAUUCCUGGCUAUUUCAUGUUCUUUCUUACAGUUGAGAAUGGGAUCAUUUUUUUUCUAUUGUAUUUUGAGUAUUGUUUGCCUAUAUUAAAAUUGCUACUUUACUGUAUGUGUAUGUGCAUAUGGAUGUGUGUGUAUGAUAUAAAUGGAAUUAUUUGCCAGGAUGUCAAAAAGACCUUUGGCAUCACAACCUUUCUUGUAAAAUAACUUAAAAUUUAGUCUCUGAACAGUGGAUUUUUAAUACAGAGUAUAUUGAAUCAAUGGCCUAAUGUAUAAACAGCUUCAAAAUUGCAAGUUUUUUUUAAAGAUCACAACAAAUAUAGUUUUAAACUUUUCUGACUGUUUGGGAUGUAUCUAAGAAAAUAUAAGAAUUAACAAGAAAACAGCCAUACACGUAGUAGUGUCCAUACACACAAUAAAGCAGUAGUUUUAACAUAGGCAAGCAAUGUUCAAAAUACAAUUAGAAAAAAAAAAUGAUUCAAUUCACAAUGAAAUAACCAAGAAAGAUAAAAAAUGAAAAAUGUUGGAGAAACAUAUGGAAAAAUAAGAACAAUGCAAGACUGUUGAGAAAUUUUGUAUAAGAUUUUACUAAUUGGAAAGAUAUAAGCUACCUAAAUGAGAACACAAGAUUUUUCAUGUGCAAACUUCAAGUGCAUUACCCUAGUUUAUAUGCAUACUAUUCCUUUCUAAUGAAAAUAUCUAUAAUUCAGAUAUCUUUACUAAUAAAGAAACUGAAGCAAAAUAAAAUGACUUCUCAAAAGUCACAAUCUUUGUAAUGUCUUUAAGAUCAUAAACCCCAAUAAAGCUCUGUAAAUGCUCAGAUUACAGUUUGAUCCUCAUUGAAGUAUCAGAAUGAAAUUCUGCUGCUUCAAAUGGUCUAGAAACCAUUUACUAGUUUCCCAAGCACAGGAAGAAUAGGAAGAAUAGGAUUAGGCUUUGCUCUGCUGGAAGAACCUUCUUGGGACCUUUCUCUCCCUUCUCCUUCCAUACUGAAUACACAUCUCUUCUCUACUUAACCAAACUAUUAAAAUCUCUGUUGUGAUACACUUGUUUGUUUCUUUCCUAGGGAAAGCAUUUGCUAGAAUAAGGAUGGUUGAACAUAUUAGUCACUUUUAAUGGAAUCCCAUCUCUCCAUUUCUUAUUCAUUAUGUAAUAAAUAUUUACGGAGUAUUUUAGUGUUCCCUGCAUUGAAUUUUACAACCAUUCCCUACAUUGAAUUUGAGGUCCAUCUUUGUCAUAUAUAGCUAUAAAAUGCAGAUUUGCCUUCUUGAUAUGAGCUGGUGAAGUGGCACCCCUUCUCCACAGAAAAGCCCUCUUCACCAUAGCUGAUUUUAGGACUGUCAGCAAAAGAGUCUCUGUGAAAGAGUCCAGUGUAGAUAAACUUCCUAUUUUCAUGUCGCCCUGUUUUACUUGGCCACUGGCUGGGAAGAUAUCAGCACUCCAGGUGCUGGACACCCCCUUACUAGUACUUUGUAGAAAUGUGCAAACAAAGCCUCUGGCCUUGAGCUGGGCUUUACAGAGAUGUCUACAUUUUUAAGAUCAGUUACAAAUUGGCUCCAUGGUAACAAUUGGCAGGGGGAGGAAAGAAAGGGGAAAAGAAGUUCUCCCCUUCUCAGGUGUUAUCCUUGAAGAGUUAACUUGCCCAAAAUAGUGAAAGAAAAAAGCUGCUUUUAUGUGAACUUUUGCAAACUGUGAACUUCUGAGCCCCUCCCCUUACAUGCUGG